RNAcentral lists this ribosomal RNA (244 nucleotides) under uncultured Actinomycetales bacterium. RNAcentral's name for it is "partial 16S ribosomal RNA". It matches the Rfam family "Bacterial small subunit ribosomal RNA", at positions 89 to 334 of the family's 1533-position model. The record is from RNAcentral. Lineage: Bacteria; Bacillati; Actinomycetota; Actinomycetes; Actinomycetales.
GCUCGAGUGGCGAACGGGUGAGUAACACGUGAGUAACCUGCCCUUGACUUUGGGAUAACUUCUGGAAACUGGGGCUAAUACCGGAUAGGAGCUCCUGCUGCAUGGUGGGGGUUGGAAAGUUUCGGCGGUUGGGGAUGGACUCGCGGCUUAUCAGCUUGUUGGUGGGGUAGUGGCUUACCAAGGCCUUGACGGGUAGCCGGCCUGAGAGGGUGACCGGCCACAUUGAGACUGAGAUACGGCCCAG